Molecule: ribosomal RNA, 468 nt
Filed under: uncultured bacterium
Lineage: Bacteria
Description: partial 16S ribosomal RNA
Rfam family: Bacterial small subunit ribosomal RNA
Source: RNAcentral
GACGAACGCUGGCGGCGUGCUUAACACAUGCAAGUCGAACGGAAAGGCCCUGCUUUUGUGGGGUGCUCGAGUGGCGAACGGGUGAGUAACACGUGAGUAACCUGCCCUUGACUUUGGGAUAACUUCAGGAAACUGGGGCUAAUACCGGAUAGGAGCUCCUGCUGCAUGGUGGGGGUUGGAAAGUUUCGGCGGUUGGGGAUGGACUCGCGGCUUAUCAGCUUGUUGGUGGGGUAGUGGCUUACCAAGGCUUUGACGGGUAGCCGGCCUGAGAGGGUGACCGGCCACAUUGGGACUGAGAUACGGCCCAGACUCCUACGGGAGGCAGCAGUGGGGAAUAUUGCACAAUGGGCGGAAGCCUGAUGCAGCAACGCCGCGUGCGGGAUGCCGGCCUUCGGGUUGUAAACCGCUUUCGCAUGUGACGAAGCGUGAGUGACGGUACUGGGUCAAGAAGCACCGGCUAACUACGUG